CCCACCUGCAAGGCCCCCCAGUUUGAGAACCACUGCUUUAGACCAUUUAGUCUUCUAUGUUCUGACUCCGUUUUCUAAAGACAAGCAGAUAUGAGUGUUUGUGUUCCCUCAGUGUAAUCAGCUGUGCACUGAGGGUCAUAAUGUUGUGCUGAUUAAGUUUGUUAUUCUGAUAUCUGUUGUGUGAAUUGUCUCCAGGGAAGGAGCCGAGUGUGGUGAGCUGAGCAUGAAGAGUGAGGAACGAUGAAGAAUCGUGCAAAUCAACACUUUUUUUUGUCUGUAUAUAUGUAUAUAUAAAUGGUGGCGCAACAAUUACUUUUUUUAUGGAGAAUGGCCUCUGUGCCAUUGCCAUACCAGGGUCUGCAGGCAUAUUACCUCGCUAUGUACGUUUCUGGAAGCCUCCCGAGUACUACUCUCUGCCGGACUAGUAAGAUUGUGGCCGACCCCUCCCACCCUGGACACAAACUCUUUGAGGUACUUCCUUCGACAAGAGGCUGCGUUCUAUCAGGACCAAAACCUCACGCCACAAGACCAGCUUCUUCCCGGCUGCAGUUGGCCUCAUCAACAAGGCCCCGGACCCCCCCCACCCCCUGACAUGGACUCUUAUCCCGCCCCCACGUCUCAAGAUCUGACUCAUGUGUUACGUUAACACACAUUACAUUACCUUGCACAUUGCACUCUUUUUUUUUUUUUUUCUGUAGUACUUAGUAUGUUUUUAAUGUUUAUUGUCUGCACCAAUAUGCCCAAACUUGGCAAUAAAAGCAAUUCUGAUUCUAU
Molecule: long non-coding RNA, 774 nt
Organism: Clupea harengus (Atlantic herring)
Lineage: Eukaryota; Metazoa; Chordata; Actinopteri; Clupeiformes; Clupeidae
Exons: 2
Source: RefSeq, a predicted model, not a curated record